RNAcentral lists this transfer RNA (74 nucleotides) under Candidatus Margulisiibacteriota bacterium. Its description in RNAcentral is "tRNA-Pro". It matches the Rfam family "tRNA". From Rfam's summary of the family: Transfer RNA (tRNA) molecules are approximately 80 nucleotides in length. Their secondary structure includes four short double-helical elements and three loops (D, anti-codon, and T loops). RNAcentral also lists the same sequence under 1 other name. The record is from RNAcentral. Lineage: Bacteria; Bacillati; Candidatus Margulisiibacteriota.
CGGGGUGUAGCUUAGCUUGGUAGAGCGCCUGCUUUGGGAGCAGGAGGUCGCUGGUUCAAAUCCAGUCACCCCGA